AGGCGCGUAGCUCAGUGGGAGAGCGCUACCUUGACACGGUAGAGGUCAGGGGUUCGAUACCCCUCGUGCCUACCA
RNAcentral lists this transfer RNA (75 nucleotides) under Nitrospiraceae bacterium. RNAcentral describes it as "tRNA-Val". It matches the Rfam family "tRNA". Rfam says of the family: Transfer RNA (tRNA) molecules are approximately 80 nucleotides in length. Lineage: Bacteria; Pseudomonadati; Nitrospirota; Nitrospiria; Nitrospirales; Nitrospiraceae. The record is from RNAcentral. RNAcentral also lists the same sequence under 8 other names.